UGUGUGUAUCUGUGUUUAUGUCUGUGUAUCUAUCAGUGUGUGUAUCUGUGUGUGUCUGUGUAUCUAUAAGUGUGUGUAUCUGUGUGUGUGUCUGUGUAUCUAUCAGUGUGUGUAUCUCUGUGUUUGUUUGUAUCUGGGUGUCAGUGUGCACCUGAGUGCAUGUGUGUAUCUGUGUUUAUGUCUCUGUAUCUAUCAGUGUGUGUAUCUUUGUGUUUGUUUGUAUCUGGGUGUCAGUGUGCACUUGAGUGUAUGUUAUUGUUUUUUUUACAUAGACCUGUAGUCUUUUGUUUUAUUAUAUUUCAUUAUUUUAUAGCAGUG
Molecule: non-coding RNA, 318 nt
Organism: Pelobates cultripes (western spadefoot toad)
Lineage: Eukaryota; Metazoa; Chordata; Amphibia; Anura; Pelobatidae
Source: the annotation of a GenBank genome assembly